CCUACGGGAGGCAGCAGUGAGGAAUAUUGGUCAAUGGACGAGAGUCUGAACCAGCCAAGUAGCGUGAAGGAUGACUGCCCUAUGGGUUGUAAACUUCUUUUAUAAAGGAAUAAAACGAGGCACGUGUGCCUUUUUGCAUGUACUUUAUGAAUAAGGAUCGGCUAACUCCGUGCCAGCAGCCGCGGUAAUACGGAGGAUCCGAGCGUUUUCCGGAUUUAUUUGGUUUAAAGGGAGCGUAGAUGGGUUGUUAAGUCAGUUGUGAAAGUUUGCGGCUGAACCGUAAAAUUGCAGUUGAUACUGGCAGUCUUGAGUACAGUUGAGGUAGGCGGAAUGCGUGGUGUAGCGGUGAAAUGCUUAGAUAUCACGAAGAACCCCGAUUGCGAAGGCAGCUUACUAAACUGUGACUGACAUUGAUGCUCGAAAGUGUGGGUAUCAAACAGGAUUAGAUACCCUGGUAGUC
Molecule: ribosomal RNA, 460 nt
Filed under: uncultured bacterium
Lineage: Bacteria
Description: partial 16S ribosomal RNA
Rfam family: Bacterial small subunit ribosomal RNA
Source: RNAcentral